Molecule: ribosomal RNA, 253 nt
Filed under: uncultured bacterium
Lineage: Bacteria
Description: partial 16S ribosomal RNA
Rfam family: Bacterial small subunit ribosomal RNA
Source: RNAcentral
UACGUAGGGUGCGAGCGUUAAUCGGAAUUACUGGGCGUAAAGGGUGCGCAGGCGGUUCUGCAAGUCAGGCGUGAAAGCCCCGGGCUUAACCUGGGAAUGGCGCUUGAAACUACAGGACUGGAGUAUGGCAGAGGGAGGUGGAAUUCCACGUGUAGCGGUGAAAUGCGUAGAUAUCUGGAGGAACACCGGUGGCGAAGGCGACGUCCUGGACCGGCAUUGACGCUGAGGCGCGAAAGCCAGGGGAGCAAACGGG